Molecule: ribosomal RNA, 421 nt
Filed under: uncultured eukaryote
Lineage: Eukaryota
Description: bacterial SSU rRNA
Rfam family: Eukaryotic small subunit ribosomal RNA
Source: RNAcentral
CAAUAGCGUAUAUUAAAGUUGUUGCGGUUAAAAGCUCGUAGUUGGAUUUCUGUUGUGGGCAACCGGUCCGUACCAUGUAUGUGUAUCUGGUUUGGCCACGGCAUCUUCUCGAUUCGCGCUAGUGCGCUUCGUUGCGUGUAGUGGCGUUCGGGACUUUUACUUUGAGGAAAUUAGAGUGUUCACGGCAGGCCAUUGCCCUGAAUAUAUUAGCAUGGAAUAAUAAUAUAGGAUCUCGAUUCUAUUUUGUUGGUUUCAGGAGUUGAGGUAAUGAUUAAUAGGGACAAUUGGGGGCACUCGUAUGAAGACGUCAGAGGUGGAAUUCUUGGAUUGUCUUCCGACGAACUACUGCGAAAGCAUUUGCCAAGGAUGUUUUCAUUGAUCAAGAACGAAAGUAAGGGGAUCGAAGACGAUUAGAUACCGU